AUCCUCUCAGAGUCGCACUUGGAGAGUUUCCAGUACUCUACCUGUCACGGUUACAGGAGGAAGAGUCGAGCAGAGGCCUGUCCAUUUCAUUCCUAGCUUGGUCAGUGACUAGUGAGUGGAAGGCAAUCUGCUACAAGU
Molecule: small nucleolar RNA, 138 nt
Organism: Tachyglossus aculeatus (Australian echidna)
Lineage: Eukaryota; Metazoa; Chordata; Mammalia; Monotremata; Tachyglossidae
Source: RefSeq, a predicted model, not a curated record